CAUGACGUACUCAGCAGAGAAGCACGGCUUAACUCUUGCAAGCAGCGCGGUAAUCGGAGUGUGCAAGCUUAAUCGAAUUUACUGGCGUAAGCGCACGCAGGCGUCUGUCAAUGUCGGAUGUGAAAUCCCCGGGUCUCACCCUGGGAGCUGCAUUCGAACUGGCAGGCUAGAGUCUGUAGAGGAGGGUAGAUUUCCAGGUGUAGCGGUGAAAUGCGUAGAGAUCUGGAGGAAUACCGGUGGCGAAGGCGGCCCCCUGGACAAAGACUGACGCUCAGGUGCGAAAGCGUGGGGAGCAAACAGGAUUAGAUACCCUGGUAGUCCACGCCGUAAACGAUGUCGACUUGGAGGUUGUGCCCUUGAGGCGUGGCUUCCGGAGCUAACGCGUUAAGUCGUCCGCCUGGGGAGUACGGCCGCAAGGUUAAAACUCAAAUGAAUUGACGGGGGCCCGCACAAGCGGUGGAGCAUGUGGUUUAAUUCGAUGCAACGCGAAGAACCUUACCUACUCUUGACAUCCAGAGAACUUUCCAGAGAUGGAUUGGUGCCUUCGGGAACUGUGAGACAGGUGGUGCAUGGCUGUCGUCAGCUCGUGUUGUGAAAUGUUGGGUUAAGUCCCGCAACGAGCGCAACCCUUAUUCUUUGUUGCCAGCGGUUCGUCCGGGAAUUCAAAGGAGACUGCCAGUGAUAAACGGGAGGAAGGUGGGGAGGAGGUCAAGUCAUCAUGGCCCUUUCGAGUAGGGCUCCCCCCGUGUUCCAAUGGCGCAUCCAAAGAGAAGGGACCUCGGGAGAGCAAGCGGACCUCAUAAAGUGCGUCGUAGUCCGGAUUGGAUUUUGCAACUGGACUCCAUGAAGUCGGAAUCGCUAGUUAUCGUAGAUCAGAAUGCUACGGUGAAUACGUUCCCGGGCCUUGUACACACCGCCCGUCACCCCAAGAAGUGUGUCCAAAGGAAGUAGGUAGCUUACCCUUCGGGAGCACGC
This 975-nucleotide ribosomal RNA is filed under the name Citrobacter freundii. RNAcentral's name for it is "bacterial SSU rRNA". It matches the Rfam family "Bacterial small subunit ribosomal RNA", at positions 468 to 1453 of the family's 1533-position model. The record is from RNAcentral. Lineage: Bacteria; Pseudomonadati; Pseudomonadota; Gammaproteobacteria; Enterobacterales; Enterobacteriaceae.